RNAcentral lists this long non-coding RNA (330 nucleotides) under Daucus carota (carrot). RNAcentral describes it as "long non-coding RNA (DCAR_LNC001907)". The record is from RNAcentral. Lineage: Eukaryota; Viridiplantae; Streptophyta; Magnoliopsida; Apiales; Apiaceae.
CAGAAGUGAAAUGUUCUAAAAAUUAAAUGAUUCAAAAUACUAAAUCUUUAUUGAAAAUAGUAAACAAUAAAUCCCGGAUCGUUUGGAUAUCUUUCGAUUAAUUUUUCCACACAAAACAAAAAAAAGUAGCCCACGCGUCAAACGGAAUAGAACAGGUCGACUAAUCUAGUCUAUGACAAAUAUAACCUCGACGCCCUUUACCUGAAAACGAAGUACAAACGCACCCACCUCUUACUUUCCUUGCACAACGACGAUUAUACCCCUGGAACACUUCUAAGCUUCUUCGAAACAAACAAUACUCUGCUUCCAAUUUCUACAGUUGUCUUUCCC